AUCGCAUCUCCAUACUUGGAGCUGAGGAAGAACAGCAGAUGCAUGACUAUGUAGUGUGAUAAAAAAUGAAACCAUAACUGCAGUGGGGUGUACACCAAUAUUCCUCGUGUUUCGCUCUGCUCCUCUCUAUGAUGUGUGGGUGACACAAUAGACAGACUGGUGUCUGCGUGCUGAGGCUAAAUCCCUGCCGGAGGGGACUGGAAAAUUUCCCACAAGAAACUAUGUAACAGUUUUCACUUUCGUUCUGACACAUAAAAUAAAGACCUUUGACUUGUGGCUGCUUGAGCAGAGGAAAUA
Micropterus salmoides (largemouth bass) is the source of this 297-nucleotide long non-coding RNA. RefSeq lists it as uncharacterized. NCBI's taxonomy places the organism in Eukaryota, Metazoa, Chordata, Actinopteri, Centrarchiformes, Centrarchidae. The record is from RefSeq and is a predicted model, not a curated record. The transcript is spliced from 2 exons.